This 265-nucleotide ribosomal RNA is filed under the name uncultured archaeon. RNAcentral describes it as "partial 16S ribosomal RNA". It matches the Rfam family "Archaeal small subunit ribosomal RNA", at positions 717 to 982 of the family's 1478-position model. The record is from RNAcentral.
ACACGACUACAUUAGAUACCCGCGUAGUCCUAGCCGUAAACGAUACUCGCUAGGUGUCGGCCACGGUGCGACCGUUGUCGGUGCCGUAGGGAAGCCGUGAAGCGAGCCACCUGGGAAGUACGGCCGCAAGGCUGAAACUUAAAGGAAUUGGCGGGGGAGCGCCACAACGGGUGGAGCUUGCGGUUUAAUUGGAUUCAACGCCGGAAAUCUUACCGGGACCGACAGCAACAUGAAGGCCAGGCUGAAGACUUUGCCGGAUUAGCUG